Molecule: non-coding RNA, 23 nt
Filed under: Cricetulus griseus (Chinese hamster)
Lineage: Eukaryota; Metazoa; Chordata; Mammalia; Rodentia; Cricetidae
Source: RNAcentral
UGGUAGUGAGUUAUCUCAAUUGA